This 432-nucleotide ribosomal RNA is filed under the name uncultured bacterium. RNAcentral's name for it is "partial 16S ribosomal RNA". It matches the Rfam family "Bacterial small subunit ribosomal RNA", at positions 29 to 506 of the family's 1533-position model. The record is from RNAcentral.
AACGAACGCUGGCGGCAUGCCUAACACAUGCAAGUCGAACGAGACCUUCGGGUCUAGUGGCGCACGGGUGCGUAACGCGUGGGAAUCUGCCCUUGGGUUCGGAAUAACAGUGAGAAAUUACUGCUAAUACCGGAUGAUGUCUUCGGACCAAAGAUUUAUCGCCCAGGGAUGAGCCCGCGUAGGAUUAGCUAGUUGGUGGGGUAAUGGCCUACCAAGGCGACGAUCCUUAGCUGGUCUGAGAGGAUGAUCAGCCACACUGGGACUGAGACACGGCCCAGACUCCUACGGGAGGCAGCAGUGGGGAAUAUUGGACAAUGGGCGCAAGCCUGAUCCAGCAAUGCCGCGUGAGUGAUGAAGGCCUUAGGGUUGUAAAGCUCUUUUACCCGGGAUGAUAAUGACAGUACCGGGAGAAUAAGCUCCGGCUAACUCCGU